AACGCAGCAUUACAUCAUUGUGCAAAAAGUAACCUGGAUUGUACGUACCUUAGAUUUGUAUUGAUAUCAUUGGUGAUUCAAUUUAUUUACCCUCACUUCAAUUUCCACUUUACUUCCACUUCUGAUUCUUCUCAUUUGUUUUUUAGUCCGUCCUUGCUCUUUCUCUUUCUCUGCCAGUUUGACAUUUUGAUAUCUUCUUUGUUAUUCAUUCUCUCAGCAAAAAGUUAUUAAUUUCCCUAAAUUGGUUUGACUUCACAUAGGAAACACUCUUAUGUCUCCAGCUCCAGAACGCUCAAAAUCAACUUUCAUACGGUUUCCGUCUCCUGCUUCAGUUUCAGAGAUAAAAAUAAUAUGCUCUUCUCCUUCUCCUUCAAAGGUCGUCUACCUCUUCGAGUGAGUUUCUCAACUUUUUCUAUCUUCCUUUUCUCUUGGAGUUCGCUGAUGUCUUUUGUGCAUGCCGCCUUCUCUGUCCUUGUGAGCUUUUCGGCAUUCUUUCUCUGUUUAAGAUAUCCAGUUGUUGCUAAUUGAACUUUGGUAGACCUCUAUUACAGUCAUCUACUUUUCUGAUAGGUUUUUCAUUUUUGUUGGAUUUUUUACAUACUUUAUUUAAUUUAAGAAUACAUGUUUGGAAUAAGAUACAUUCAUACAAAAUUUUGAUAUUUGAUGAACACAAACUUUAUUUUCGGGCAAUCAACCUUAAUUCCCUAUUUCCCCUCUUUAUUUUGGGAAUUUUGUUUAUCUAUUUUUCUGUUAAUUUCUACAAAUAUCUACUCACUUCAUUCCUAUUUGAAGCUCUAAGAUUGUUGGUAUGGGGAUAAGUAAGUGAUGUAAGCAAGAUUAAUAACGACUUGAUUACAAAUGACAAAAUAUUGAACUAGAGUAGUAUACAUUACACUCUUUUUUAAAUCUCAUUGUUUGAGUUAUUUGAGGCACCUAACCCUCAGGGUUGGCCUGGUGGCAAUUGACUUGAGCCUUGGGGUUUGCUCCCUUUCAAGGUCUCAUGUUCGAAACCCACUGGGUGCAAACAAUUUCUGAGGGUCAUCGGACUGGGUAACACCUGAAUUAACCGUGGUGCACUUGCGGGAAACUCCUUGCCGAGGGCCUGUGCACCCCGGGAUUAGUCGGGGCUCUUAGAAACUCGGACACCCGGUGCAAAUCCCAAAAAAAAAAAAGUUAUUUGAGGCACCCCAAAUGUUCGACGAUAUGUCAAAAAUAAUUAACUACAUAAUAUUUUUUUUUUCCUUUUGACUGCUCUUCUAUCGUUCAUUGUGUGUAUUUCUACUACAAGAUUGCCUCUGUUUGUUUCUAAUUUAAAAACGUGCCACUUUUUAUCUAACUUUACCUUUUCAAGAAAAAAUAAAGAUGACUUUAAAGUUGCUCAAAAUUACCCAAAUUGUAAAUAUAAUUUUAUGAAGUUAUAAUUGAACUAUUUGGAACAUGAGUAUUGAAAGAUAAAGAUAUUGCUGAGCCGAAGGUUGGGGGUUUAGAUUAUCCAUUUCUUUGCAUGACCUUCUUUUGAUAGACUUGAGUGUUCCAAUGAUGGUGAAGAAGUUGGUCGAUUAAAAUAGACAAGAAGGAGGACAUUUAUUACGCUAUUUUUGUACCUUGUGAAGAGCAAAAUCAACUGCUCCUCUUUGUUGUAAGAUUACUUGAAAGUUAAAACAUCAGAGGUUUAAUACAAUAGGUGAUUGAUGGUCAAAAGUUGGAAACAAGAGAAGUGUUAAGAAAAGCGAUGAAGAUGUUGUGUGUUUACAUAUUUAACCUAAGGUUUCACUACUUGUGCCACUUAGAUCUCCAGGAUAUAUGAAGUGUUAAUGCCAUCUAUAUUCGAGCUGAUGAAAUCUUAACACUUUGGGGAGCAUAGGUCAUCCUGAAUGGAGUAAAAGUAGCAUAAGACAUUAUGAGUGGAAGAGCUCAAGGCGAAUGUCUUGAAUAGCGACAAAGGUUAUACAAAGUUACAAUAUUGUUUGUAUUCUGUAUUUAAAUCCAAUUUAGUGAGUCACACUCUUCGUUUUACUUCUUUGAUAUUUGUUCGUGGUUGAGAAUAUUUUGUGGAUGUAGUAAUCUAACAGCUAUUACUUAUGUUUGUGUUCAAGAAAUUCAUUGAAACAUAUAUCAUUUGUUUGCAUCUGUUUCAAUUGCAGUUUGGUAUUAACCGCCUAAUUUUGUGUCUAUCAGUAUCAGAAAAAAUUAGAAUUAUACCAAAUUUAAAAUUUUACUUCAACAAAAUAAAAAGACUUGGAACAGGAAUGUCGACAAAUAGAGGGUCAAGAAGAGUAAGUGAUAUCAUUCUCUAUUCUUGCUUCUUCUUUUUUAACCCCUGGUCUAUAUUUCUUCUUUUCAUUUUGUUUUGGUAUUGAAAUUGGCAGCUCAAGGGUGUUGAAAAGAAAAGAACAUGUGGUACCUGUAAUUCUGGAGAUUAGUCAAAUUAUAAAUGGCAAUAUCACCAACACUAUGAAUGUCUUUGUUUGUCAUAUGAUAGUGUUUGCAAAUAACUGCUUGGUUUUGCAGAAAUUGAAGCUAUAACUUUGGUUCUUGUAAGUGUUUGCCAAUUUUGAUGUUAAUAUUUUUGAAAAGCAAUGUGGUCAUGUGUAGGGAGAUUGUAAUGUUACUGUCCAUGUAUAGUCCUGCACGCAGCGUUGAAGAUGUCUUAACUUUUAGAAAGGAACUUUUCCCCGAGACAGUAGUGGUGCUUCUUGGCCAUAAUAUUAGAUUGCUUUCUUAUAUCUAGAAACCCAAAUGUGAGGUGAUAUGAUGUAGACAAUUCUCAUGGUUAAUAGCAUAUAUUUAACUAGUAUUAUUUUUCUUAAGGUUCUUGAUACUAUUAUAUUCAUUAGUGCUGUUGUAGCUGGAAUUUCAAAUAUUUGGUGGUUUAGGGUUGCGGACAGUUCCAGUAGUUAAUAAUUUGAUACUUGUUAACCGUGAAUCAUAUUCUGAUUACUUGGUUGUGUAGCAAUCUGGAAUUCAAAUUGUGAGGUGGUUUACAUAAGUUAAUAAUGUAUCCCGUUCUUAUUUUGGGAUAGAUUUGAUCAUGUUAUAAUAUUCUUUCACGUUAUUGCAGCUGAAAUCCCAAAUGUGAUAUUGUUGCAGCAAAUCAUUCACAUGGGAACAAUGCUUGUGAAGAGCAUAAGAUGGUGGAUGUGCUUUAUGUAAUAGUAGUAGUUUUACUCCAUCCAGUUUGUUGUACAUAUCUGUAGUGUGGUUUGUUUUCAUAGAAACAACGUGACUUGACUAUGUUAAUGUUUUGGUUUCUUUUUAAUUCUAAGCUCUAUUUCAGCUCCCAAUUCUGCCGUCUUCAACAUUUUUCAAACAAAACUAAUUCUAUGUCCUUUGGUUGUUUGAAGUCAGCUUUGUAAUUAUAUUUGCCGGUACUGAGAAAAGUUCAACUUUUUCCUUAUUUAGUUUUUGAAGUGGAC
Molecule: long non-coding RNA, 3416 nt
Filed under: Nicotiana tabacum (common tobacco)
Lineage: Eukaryota; Viridiplantae; Streptophyta; Magnoliopsida; Solanales; Solanaceae
Description: long non-coding RNA (NTAB_LNC004170)
Source: RNAcentral